Molecule: small RNA, 89 nt
Organism: Jeotgalibaca sp. PTS2502
Lineage: Bacteria; Bacillati; Bacillota; Bacilli; Lactobacillales; Carnobacteriaceae
Rfam family: BsrC
About the family: The 301 nucleotide sequence from Kouji Nakamura has been trimmed to a highly conserved ~85 nucleotide long core to form this family.
Source: Rfam
UCUCAUUUAAACGAUGUAUUCCCUAACCUCUAAUACAUCCUUGUAGCUCCAUAGCUACGCCAGUGUGAAUAAACGUCCUCAAAAAAACA